RNAcentral lists this long non-coding RNA (498 nucleotides) under Vigna radiata. RNAcentral describes it as "long non-coding RNA (VRAD_LNC013368)". Lineage: Eukaryota; Viridiplantae; Streptophyta; Magnoliopsida; Fabales; Fabaceae. The record is from RNAcentral.
CCAGGGAUGCAAAACCUAUAGCCCCAGGGUCCCUUAAAUAAUGCCAAAAGAGUCCCAGAUUGCGGCCCGGUCCAAAAGAAUCAAAUCAGAGCAGAAACAGGGCUCGAUACACGUCAUAUCUCGCUCAAGUGUCGUAGGGAGCUCGCCCGGGCGUGAAUUGAGGGUUCUGUAAGGCUUGGGCGCCAGUUUUGGAUGCUUGGGCUAUGAACGUCUAUCGCCUGGGUGCCGGGUCCGUCGCCCAGGCGACCAGCGGUGAUUUCUUCUCGCAAAUGUUGUGCUUCUGUCGCCUGGUGCUCGCCUGGGCUUCUGGUUUUCUCCCUUCUUGGUGCCUUUUUGACCCCUUUUGAUCUCCAACUUCAUGGCUUUUCACUUCUUCUUCCAUUAUUGCUUCAAUUUCUGUUAUAACAAGGGGAAUUUGUUAGAAAACAGUUAAAAUUAACCUCAACUCUCUUAUUCACACAAUUUACUGAAAACAUACGAGUUCAAGCAAGUUUCUAA